AUUGAACGCUGGCGGCAGGCCUAAAACAUGCAAGUCGAGCGGAGCGGCGGACGGGUGAGUAAUGCCUAGGAAUCUGCCUGGUAGUGGGGGAUAACGUCCGGAAACGGGAGCUAAUACCGCAUACUAUCAGAUGAGCCUAGGUCGGAUUAGCUAGUUGGGGGGGUGAAGGCCUACCAAGGCGACGAUCCGUAACUGGUCUGAGAGGAUGAGCAGGCACACUGGAACUGUGACACGUUCCAGACUCCGACGGGAGGCAGCAGUGGGGAAUAUUGUACAAUGGACGAAAGCCUGAUCCAGCCAUGCCGCGUGUGUGAAGAAGGUCUUCGGAUUGUAAAGCACUUUAAGUUGGGAGGCGUUACCAACAGAAUAAGCACCGGCUAACUUCGUGCCAGCAGCCGCGGUAAUUC
Molecule: ribosomal RNA, 407 nt
Filed under: uncultured bacterium
Lineage: Bacteria
Description: partial 16S ribosomal RNA
Rfam family: Bacterial small subunit ribosomal RNA
Source: RNAcentral